RNAcentral lists this ribosomal RNA (659 nucleotides) under uncultured bacterium. Its description in RNAcentral is "bacterial SSU rRNA". It matches the Rfam family "Bacterial small subunit ribosomal RNA", at positions 202 to 842 of the family's 1533-position model. The record is from RNAcentral.
CAAAGAGGGGGACCUUAGGGCCUCUUGCCAUCGGAUGUGCCCAGAUGGGAUUAGCUAGUAGGUGGGGUAACGGCUCACCUAGGCGACGAUCCCUAGCUGGUCUGAGAGGAUGACCAGCCACACUGGAACUGAGACACGGUCCAGACUCCUACGGGAGGCAGCAGUGGGGAAUAUUGCACAAUGGGCGCAAGCCUGAUGCAGCCAUGCCGCGUGUAUGAAGAAGGCCUUCGGGUUGUAAAGUACUUUCAGCGGGGAGGAAGGGAGUAAAGUUAAUACCUUUGCUCAUUGACGUUACCCGCAGAAGAAGCACCGGCUAACUCCGUGCCAGCAGCCGCGGUAAUACGGAGGGUGCAAGCGUUAAUCGGAAUUACUGGGCGUAAAGCGCACGCAGGCGGUUUGUUAAGUCAGAUGUGAAAUCCCCGGGCUCAACCUGGGAACUGCAUCUGAUACUGGCAAGCUUGAGUCUCGUAGAGGGGGGUAGAAUUCCAGGUGUAGCGGUGAAAUGCGUAGAGAUCUGGAGGAAUACCGGUGGCGAAGGCGGCCCCCUGGACGAAGACUGACGCUCAGGUGCGAAAGCGUGGGGAGCAAACAGGAUUAGGUACCCUGGUAGUCCACGCCGUAAACGAUGUCGACUUGGAGGUUGUGCCCUUGAGGCGUGG